UGUAUUCCAGCUAAGAAAAUGUCAACUGAAACUCCAAAUUCUCCUGUCUAGCCAGAAUGUACUGGAAUAUUUUGCCCAGAAAAAAGUAGUUUUAUACCUGAUUGUAAGAAAGUUCACUGGCAUACAGAUCAGUUUUUCAUAUCAUAAUUAUAGGAAUGAAUUCUAAGCUCUUUAUAUGUUGUUUUGGAAAGGAGAAAUAUCUCAAUUCUGAGCUCCACAUUAGUGAUGUGGGAAGGCCGCUUCCCUUAAUAGACCUCAUAUUCUCUUUGGAAGACUAUGCUAAUGCCUGAGCCAUUUUUGUUUCUGAAAGAAACACAAAGAAGGCUGAGAGUGGCAGUGCAUGGCCAUAAUCACAGCACCCUGGGAGGCUGGGGCAGGAAGAACUCAAGUUCCAAAGUUCCAACCAAGUUUGGACAAUUUAAUGACUUGGGUUCAAGCAGAAACAGCAUCUUCAACGUACUAAACUGAAAAGGAUGCCGAUCUCCCCGUGCAGGAAUGGUGAAAACUGGCCAGGCUUUCUGUGUUCUGCCUGCAUAUGGCUGGGGCCUCCAUCCAGACCCAUUGCUGUGGAUACCAGGGCUCUAUCAGGCAUCUGGAAUUUUUCUUUGUAGUGAAGGGUCUCAAGGUUACAAGUCCGUGAAACUUGACUGUAAUGGAAAGUUUCUCAGCCUGCCUUGGCAGUGGAAAAUCAUUACCGAGAAUGCUUUGAUGUGAAGGCAAGAAGAUGUAGACCUACUAGUGUGAUCCUAUUAGGUUAUUUUCUCUACCAACCGCCGUGAGAACAUUACCACAUUUCCUUCUUCACAGUCUUUCCCAAAGACGAAGUUUUGCAGAUACAAGUGGUAUUUAAUCUUUUUUAUUAGGUCCUUAACAAAAAGCUCUGAAUAGAAAAAGUGAAUUGGUUAAAUACAGUAAGUUCCCGACUUAUGAACUUUCAAGUUGUGAACUUUCACAGAUACCAAUGGACCUCCUAUUAUGAACAUUCAUAGAUGCAAUCAAAUUGUGAAAAUAGCUCACGUGUCUGCUGGACAUGGUCACAGUUGUGGUGCUGUGUGCUUACUUACAGUGAGACAGUGCACAGUAGUACAUGUGGGAAUUCACUGUAUUUGGGUAUGUGUUUGCUUUUUUAUGCUUUAUAUUGUAUAUUUGUAUCAAAAGUAUAUAAAAUUCUCUUGGUUGGACUUAUGAACCAAUCUGAUUUAUGAAUAUUCUCCCAGAAUGGAACUCAUUAGUAAGAUGGGGACUUACUAUACAAGUUAUUCGUCAAUAGUCCCUCUGUAUAUCAGUGAACUUCAUUUAGAGACUCUCACGUGAAAUGGUUGGUACUUUUGAAUUGCAUGAAGUAUUUCCACUGAAGUAUUUCCAAGGUGAUAAGAUACUGGAAUGAUAUCCGAUAAAAUAGAAAACACAUUCUUAUCCCUUACGCAUUGUUCACUAUAAUACAAAGCAGAAGACUGAGUGAGAGUUUUGUGUCUAGGAUAGCACUAGUUCAGAGAGCAUUUUUUUUUUCCCCCGAACCAGGCAUCAAACUCAGGACCUCACACUUGCAAGGCAGGCGCAGUGGCACUGAGCUAAAUCCCUGGCUCUGGGCAUCUUUAAACUCACUGAGUAAGCAUGCUUGAAUGCUUCUAUUAUGAUACUAACACUUGCCUUUUAGUAGAGAUGAAAUUAGAUAACAGAUAUGAGAAAUAAAAAUAAAUUAUAGUAAAUUUGGUUUAUCUAUUUAUUUCUUUUUGCUUUAUUUUUUGACUUUUAUUAGUACAUAUUUGCAGUACAUAAGGAUUAUAUUCACUGUAGGGAAUUGGUAUACAUACAUGACACAUUUUAAUUUCCUCUCUUUCCCUCCUUCUACCUCCCUUUCAUUUUUCCAGCAGCAGAUUCAUUUAUUUUAUAAGAAUUUAUAAAGUUAAGCAUCAUAUAUAUAGAUUGAAAUCCAGAAUAGGCCAAAGAACAUAUGAAACAUAAAACAAUUGUACUAAGUCAAGGUGCACUUGGAGAUACACAUGUGUACUGGAUUACAAUACUAUUUUGUUUUGUUUUUUCCUUUCUCUCCUCUCUCUCUCUUUUAUUUUUGGUACCAGGGAUCGAACUCAGGACCUUGCACUUGCGAGACAGGCGCAGUGCCAGUGAGCUAAAUCCCCGGCCCUCCUUUCUCUAAAUAAAUUUGGGAAACUCAUUUCUUUUCUCUUUUCUCCUCUUCUCUUUUCUUUUCACCUACUUUUAACUCCCUCUUCUCUUCUUUUCCUCCUUCCCUUCUUCCUUUCCCCUCAUCCUCUUCCUCCUUUCUGUCUAUAAUUACUAGUUAGUACCAACCCUCCUGUGCUUUAAACCAAGGAACAUAUAGGACUUUGGAGUGACAUAUUGACUGUCUUUAAGACUUUGAAGAAGUACCAUAGCACUAAACAGAAAAACAGAUACUUCAAAGAUAUAUUUUACAAGCAUAUUAAAUCAAAGUCAUUUACAUUUUUUCAUUUUUAAUUGUACAAAUUAAAUAUGAUAUACAUAUGAAUUCUUUUUUUAGAUAUAAUUGGUUUUGCAAUUGCUUAAGUCUAUAAAGAAAAAAUAUUCUUUCAAAUAGUUUGAUUGAUCACAGAAAAUGAUGUUAGGCUCUUAGUAUAACUUGUUCUUUAUUAUUUGGCUCUCAUCACAGAAAAAGAAUGAUACAAUAUAUGGGUGGAAAUUUACCCUUAUGGUUAAGGAAUGUAAAUAAAGUAGCAAUGUAAUAAUAUGGUCCAGCUGUGCUUUAGGGAUAAGCAGAGGCCCCAGUUGUGAUGUGACAUUUGAAAUAUUUUUCACAACAGAUUUUUUCCAGCUGAAAUUUGUCGUCUUCAUAUACAAGACCCACCAAGUUACAAAAAUUUACAAAGAUGUUAUAAUUUUUAAGCAGACAGAAUUCAUGAGUUAGAAAUUGUUCAGAAACCAGCACUCUUUUCCUCCCACAUAAUCCAAAAGAACUAUAAGGAAUGAUAUUCCUCUGAGAGAGAGAGAGAGAGAGAGAGAGAGAGAGAGAGAGAUUUACAGAGAGCAGAGAGAGGAAUGCUGAAACUCAUGCAGAAAUCGUUUUGUAGAUAUACAUAGAGAGAGAUGUGUAUGUGCUUGUGUGUAAAAUGAACACGUACAUGUGUAUGCAUGUAAAUUUGUGCGCAUUGAAGUAUGAAGUACUAUGAAUAGUUUCAGGUUACAAAAAAGUUGCCCAGAAAGUUAUUGCAGACUUUAUUUUCCCCUCAUAAUUUCUUCUGCUAUUAACAUGGAUUUUAACAAAUGUGUAUUGUCAUGUAUUCACCAUUAUGAUAUCAUACAGGAUAGUUUCAAAAUAUGAAAAUUGCCCUUUGAAUACAGAAAUCACAUCACCUAUUGAACCCUACUUUCAUUCUACUUACUUUCAGAAUUCAUUAAUGUUUUUACUGUGUCUAUAGUAUUUUCUUUUUCAGGCUGUCAUAUAGUUGGAAUCAGAUAGUAUAUAGUCAUUUCAAACUAGUUUCCUUCUCUGAGCAACACGUAUUUCUCCGUGUCUAUUUUUGGUUUGAUAGCUUUCUUUUUAUUGUUGGCAAAUAUUCCUUUGUAUGUAUGGGCCAUACUUUGCUUAUGCAUUACUCUACUGAAGGGGAUUUGGCUGCUUUUAAAAUUUGACAUUUAUGAAUGUAACUAGCAUAUACAGUUUUAUAUGCAUAUACAGAUUUAUAUGUACAAUAUUUUGGGGGCAUAAAAUUUCAAUUCAUUUGAGUAAAUGCUAGUAAAUAACUACUAGAUUGUUUAUUGAGCCUGUUUAGCUUUGUAAAAGUCAGCCAAAGGGUCCUACAAAGUUGUAAUAUUUUGCAUUCCUACAAGCAAUGAAUUAGAGUUAUUGAAACAUAUGUUGUUGUUUUAAGAAAAGUAAUCUAAAAUUUAGUUUAUUAGUAUGAAUAAUCAAUUAGAUAAUCAUUAAUUCAUUUACUCUUCAUAGCAUAGGAAUGGAUAUUUAUAUAUUAAGAAAAAAACAUUUGAUAUGUGCAUGUUCAAUUGGA
This is a long non-coding RNA of Heterocephalus glaber (naked mole-rat), 4004 nucleotides long. RefSeq lists it as uncharacterized. The record is from RefSeq and is a predicted model, not a curated record. NCBI's taxonomy places the organism in Eukaryota, Metazoa, Chordata, Mammalia, Rodentia, Bathyergidae.